RNAcentral lists this transfer RNA (84 nucleotides) under Streptomyces xinghaiensis. RNAcentral's name for it is "tRNA-Leu". It matches the Rfam family "tRNA". Rfam says of the family: Transfer RNA (tRNA) molecules are approximately 80 nucleotides in length. Their secondary structure includes four short double-helical elements and three loops (D, anti-codon, and T loops). Lineage: Bacteria; Bacillati; Actinomycetota; Actinomycetes; Kitasatosporales; Streptomycetaceae. The record is from RNAcentral. RNAcentral also lists the same sequence under 2 other names.
GCGGCCGUGGCUAAAUAGGUAGAAGCGCAGCGCUUAGGACGCUGUGGGAGAAAUCCCGUGUGGGUUCGAGUCCCACCGGCCGCA